Molecule: long non-coding RNA, 504 nt
Filed under: Fukomys damarensis (Damara mole-rat)
Lineage: Eukaryota; Metazoa; Chordata; Mammalia; Rodentia; Bathyergidae
Description: lncRNA (ENSFDAG00000033428.1)
Source: RNAcentral
CUUAAAGACCACAUCUGUGGACCCACAGAGAAGUCACGUUGUACACAGCAUGGAAAUUGUGCUUAUCUGAUGGGUGAAGAAACCGAGGACCCUGAGAGAGUCCCAGGGUUUGUGUCCCUGCACAAAACUUGACUCAGUUUCCUCAUCUGUAAAAUGGGAAUCAGGAGAGUUAUGAAAUUAAGCAGGACAGACUGGUGGCAGCUCUGCGUGAUUGGCAGCAAUUCUGGACGAACGGGGACAAGUCAGCCGGUCCGUUUCACCGCACCCAAGCUCCCAGCUCUUCAUCAGAACCCAGUUCUGACCUGUAAGAAGUCUCAUGAUGUCAAGUGCAUCUCCGUAAUCCUAGCACACUGGAGGCUGAAGCAGGAGGAUGACUGUGAGUUUGAGGUCAGCCUGGACCACAUAGUGAGUUCAAGACCAGCCUGAGCUAUACCGCAAGACCAUGUCUCAAACAAUGAAAAUAAAAGGAAGCCGCACCAAGAGGGUAGGUGCUACCAUUGCCCC